AGUUUGAUCCUGGCUCAGGAUGAACGCUGGCGGCGUGCCUAACACGUGCAUGUCGAGCGAACCCUUCUGGGUGAGCGGCGGACGGGUGAGUAACGCUGUGGGUAACCUGUCCCUGUACGCUCGGAUAACAUACCGAAAGGUAUGCUAAUACCGGAUAAUAUAUGAGAGUCGCGUGGCUUUUGUGUCAAAGCUCCGGCGGUGCAGGAUGGACCCGCAUCUGAUUACCUACUUGGUAAGGUAACGGCUUACCAAGGCAACGAUCAGUACCCAACCUGAGAGGGUGAUCGGCCACAUUGGAACUGAUACACGGUCCAAACUCCUACGGGAGGCAGCAGUGGGGAAUAUUGCACAAUGGGCGAAAGCCUGAUGCAUCAACGCCGCGUGAGCGAUGAAUGCCUUCAGGUCGUAAAGCUCUGUCCUCAAGGAAGAUAAUGACGGUACUUGAGGAAGAAGCCCCGGCUAACUACCUGCCGUCAGCCGCGGUAAUACGUACGGGGCUAGCGUUAUCCGGAAUUACUGGGCGUAAAGGGUGCGUAGGCGGUCUUUCAAGUCCAGAAGUGAAAGGCUACGGCUCAACCGUAGUAAGCUUUUGGAACUGUAGGAUUGGAGUGCAGGGGAGGGGAGUGGAUUUCAUAGGGUAGCGGUGAAAGGGGUGGAUUUUGGGGGGACCCCCAGGAGGGAAGGGGGUUUUUUGCACGGUAACUGACUCUGACGCACGAAAGCUUGAGGAGCAUUCAGGAUUACAUAUCCUGGUAGUCCACUCCGUAAACGAUGAGUACUAGGUGUCGGGGGUUACCCCCCUCGGUGCCGCAGCUAACGCAUUAUGUACUCCGCCUGGGAAGUGCGCUCACCAGAGCGAAUCUCAAAAGAAUCGAGUGGGGACCCGCACAAGUAGCUGAGCAUGUGGUUUAUUUCGAUGCAACGAGAAGAACCUUCCGUACUCUUUACAUCCAGAGAACUUUCCAGAGAUGGAUGGGUGCCUUCGGGAACUAUGAGUCAGGUGCUGCACGUCCGUUGUCAGUUCGUGUUGUGUAACAUUGGGCUAAGUCCCGCAUCGACGCUGCAACCCUUAUCUUUUGUUGCCAGCGAUUGGAUUGGGAACUCAAAGGAGACUGCUCGGUGAUAAACCGGAUGGAUACGGUGGGGAAGAGCUCAAGUCAUCAUGGCCCUUAAGAGUAGGGUUACACACGUGAUACAAUGGCAUAUACAAAGGGCGGCAAGCUUCCGAUAGUGAGCGAAUCCCAUAAAGUAUGUCGUAGUCCGGAUUGGAGUUUGCAACUCGACUCCAUGAAGUUGGAAUCGCUAGUAAUCGCGGAUCAGAAUGCCGCGGUGAAUACGUUCCCGGCCCUUGCACACACCGCCCGUCA
RNAcentral lists this ribosomal RNA (1367 nucleotides) under uncultured bacterium. RNAcentral's name for it is "partial 16S ribosomal RNA". It matches the Rfam family "Bacterial small subunit ribosomal RNA". The record is from RNAcentral.